This 120-nucleotide ribosomal RNA is filed under the name Elaphognathia cornigera. Its description in RNAcentral is "partial 5.8S ribosomal RNA". The record is from RNAcentral. Lineage: Eukaryota; Metazoa; Arthropoda; Malacostraca; Isopoda; Gnathiidae.
UAGUACAGGAUGAUACUACGGUUGGCAAGCGAGUUUAACCGUCUUGGGUUGGUGACCAUCUGACCGCCCCAAACGGUUUACCAACUGCUUGUUGUUGAACACACAUUACGCCCCCGUCGC